GGGGAGGUGCCGGAGUUGGACGAUCGGGGCCGCCUGCUAAGCGGUUGUGGGGGCUAAAACCUCCACCGCGGGUUCGAAUCCCGCCCUCCCCG
This 92-nucleotide transfer RNA is filed under the name Chloroflexota bacterium. Its description in RNAcentral is "Chloroflexi bacterium (hydrothermal vent metagenome) tRNA-Ser". It matches the Rfam family "tRNA". Rfam says of the family: Transfer RNA (tRNA) molecules are approximately 80 nucleotides in length. Their secondary structure includes four short double-helical elements and three loops (D, anti-codon, and T loops). Further hydrogen bonds mediate the characteristic L-shaped molecular structure. tRNAs have two regions of fundamental functional importance: the anti-codon, which is responsible for specific mRNA codon recognition, and the 3' end, to which the tRNAs corresponding amino acid is attached (by aminoacyl-tRNA synthetases). tRNAs cope with the degeneracy of the genetic code in two manners: having more than one tRNA (with a specific anti-codon) for a particular amino acid; and 'wobble' base-pairing, i.e. permitting non-standard base-pairing at the 3rd anti-codon position. The record is from RNAcentral. Lineage: Bacteria; Bacillati; Chloroflexota.